Molecule: transfer RNA, 75 nt
Filed under: Chloroflexi bacterium RBG_16_48_8
Lineage: Bacteria; Bacillati; Chloroflexota
Description: tRNA-Gly
Rfam family: tRNA
About the family: Transfer RNA (tRNA) molecules are approximately 80 nucleotides in length. Their secondary structure includes four short double-helical elements and three loops (D, anti-codon, and T loops). Further hydrogen bonds mediate the characteristic L-shaped molecular structure. tRNAs have two regions of fundamental functional importance: the anti-codon, which is responsible for specific mRNA codon recognition, and the 3' end, to which the tRNAs corresponding amino acid is attached (by aminoacyl-tRNA synthetases). tRNAs cope with the degeneracy of the genetic code in two manners: having more than one tRNA (with a specific anti-codon) for a particular amino acid; and 'wobble' base-pairing, i.e. permitting non-standard base-pairing at the 3rd anti-codon position.
Source: RNAcentral
GCGGGUGUCGCCAAGUGGUAAGGCAGUAGCUUCCCAAGUUACCAUGCGUGGGUUCGAAUCCCAUCACCCGCUCUA